This 468-nucleotide ribosomal RNA is filed under the name uncultured bacterium. RNAcentral's name for it is "partial 16S ribosomal RNA". It matches the Rfam family "Bacterial small subunit ribosomal RNA", at positions 28 to 507 of the family's 1533-position model. The record is from RNAcentral.
GACGAACGCUGGCGGUGUGCUUAACACAUGCAAGUCGAACGGAAAGGCCCUGCUUUUGUGGGGUGCUCGAGUGGCGAACGGGUGAGUAACACGUGAGUAGCCUGCCCUUGACUUUGGGAUAACUUCAGGAAACUGGGGCUAAUACCGGAUAGGAGCUCCUGCUGCAUGGUGGGGGUUGGAAAGUUUCGGCGGUUGGGGAUGGACUCGCGGCUUAUCAGCUUGUUGGUGGGGUAGUGGCUUACCAAGGCUUUGACGGGUAGCCGGCCUGAGAGGGUGACCGGCCACAUUGGGACUGAGAUACGGCCCAGACUCCUACGGGAGGCAGCGGUGGAGAAUAUUGCACAAUGGGCGGAAGCCUGAUGCGACGACGCCGCGUGCGGGAUGACGGCCUUCGGGUUGUAAACCGCUUUCGCCUGUGACGAAGCGUGAGUGACGGUAAUGGGUAAAGAAGCACCGGCUAACUACGUG